CUCACCAUCCUUUGCUGAUGCGGG
Molecule: non-coding RNA, 24 nt
Filed under: Arabidopsis thaliana (thale cress)
Lineage: Eukaryota; Viridiplantae; Streptophyta; Magnoliopsida; Brassicales; Brassicaceae
Source: RNAcentral